AGACAAAAUGUGAAUUAUACAAACAUCUGAGCCUGGCAUGAUGGCUGGUGAAAGAAAAGCUAAAUAUGGUUGCUGGAAACUCCAAUCACCAAUCAUCAAUCAUCACAAUGCUUCUUAUAAAUCACCAUUGUCUGCUUUUAAUUAGAAAAUUUUAAAAUUGACUUAUUAGGCCAAGUGAAGGACAAAUGAUGCAAAAGUUUUAGACAUCCUGCGUGAGGGUACUUUAUGUGCAUACUUUAUUGGUUUUUUUUAUGACUAUUAACCCUUUUUAUGAUGCAGUUGUUUGGCUCUUUCAUACUUGUUUUUGUUUAAAUGUUACUGCGUGUUAAAUCCGGACAAACCUCAAACCACAGCAAAAAAUAAAGAUAACACAAGACAAACAAA
Long non-coding RNA from Sinocyclocheilus rhinocerous, 384 nucleotides. RefSeq lists it as uncharacterized. The transcript is spliced from 2 exons. The record is from RefSeq and is a predicted model, not a curated record. Lineage: Eukaryota; Metazoa; Chordata; Actinopteri; Cypriniformes; Cyprinidae.